CUUCAAUCAGGUCCGAAAUCCGUGCAUAUAAGGGAAUUGCUCCUGUGCUCCUUCGCUUUUCUGAGGCUUUUCUGCAGCUCGUUCAGCAUGUCUGGUCGCGGCAAAGGAGGCAAAGGCCUGGGUAAGGGUGGCGCUAAGCGCCACCGCAAGGUGCUGCGUGACAACAUCCAGGGCAUCACCAAGCCCGCCAUCCGCCGCCUGGCCCGCCGCGGCGGCGUCAAACGUAUUUCCGGCCUCAUCUACGAGGAGACGCGCGGGGUACUCAAGGUCUUUUUGGAGAACGUGAUCCGCGACGCCGUCACCUACACGGAGCACGCCAAGCGCAAGACGGUCACGGCCAUGGACGUGGUCUACGCGCUCAAGCGCCAGGGCCGCACGCUCUACGGCUUCGGCGGCUGAGCGUCCAGGUUUUCAUCUUCGCUUAAAAUCUCAACCAAAGGCCCUUUUCAGGGCCGCCCAUGGCUUUCCUUAAAAGAGCUGCCGUACCAGUUAAAACUAGGCAUUCGUCGUGUGUGUACCGUGACGCCGGCCUGUCACUUAGACUAACUACAGGCUUGCGGUACUUUCUCCAUUGAGUCUCUCUUUCUCCUUCUCAGAACAGAAUACAUAUUAUCUCCAUUUUGUAGAUGUGGAAGAAUGCCCUCAAGUUAUAAAUACAGGACAAAGAGACUUGAAGAAGAAAGAUCUGAAAUAGAACAUUAUCUGUUACACACACAAAUGGAAGUUUUGGAGAGCGUCAAAUGGAGAACAUUCUCUUCAGAGGAGUUAAUCCUUUUACCUGGAAAAAAUGCGACAGUACUAUUCACAUUUUGGGAUGGAUUCUUCUAAUGCAUCCCACCCCUGUUCUGGACUGUAUUUUGUGUGUGAAUAAAAUAUAAAU
Molecule: RNA transcript, 880 nt
Organism: Sciurus carolinensis (gray squirrel)
Lineage: Eukaryota; Metazoa; Chordata; Mammalia; Rodentia; Sciuridae
Gene name: histone H4
Exons: 3
Source: RefSeq, a predicted model, not a curated record